AUGGGCAACUGUUUCCACACAGCGCAAGGUCGUCGCGGUGUCGACACCAAGAAGAGCGCGGUGCCGGAGGAGGAGGAGGAAGUUACUCCGCCGGUGAAGGAGGUGAAGAUCAGGAUCACGAGGAAGCAGCUGGAGGACCUGCUGCGGCGCCUCGACCAGGAGGACGGCUGCAGCGGCGCCGUCAUCUCGGAGCUCCUCUGCAUGACGAGCAGCUCCAAUUUCCGGCACAGGGGGCAGACCGCACAGUGGACGCCGGCGCUGCAGAGCAUACCGGAGUGA
This 279-nucleotide ribosomal RNA is filed under the name Triticum aestivum (bread wheat). RNAcentral describes it as "partial small subunit ribosomal RNA". Lineage: Eukaryota; Viridiplantae; Streptophyta; Magnoliopsida; Poales; Poaceae. The record is from RNAcentral.